This 253-nucleotide ribosomal RNA is filed under the name uncultured bacterium. Its description in RNAcentral is "partial 16S ribosomal RNA". It matches the Rfam family "Bacterial small subunit ribosomal RNA", at positions 524 to 776 of the family's 1533-position model. The record is from RNAcentral.
UACGGGGGGUGCGAGCGUUGUCCGGAAUCACUGGGCGUAAAGGGCGCGUAGGUGGUCUUAUAAGGGUGUGGUGAAAGCCCGGGGCUCAACCCCGGGUCGGCCGUGCCGACUGUAAGACUAGAGUGCUGUAGGGGCAGGCGGAAUUCCGGGUGUAGCGGUGAAAUGCGUAGAUAUCGGGAAGAACACCUGUGGCGAAGGCGGCUUCCUGGCCCGCAACUGACGCUGAGGCGCGAAAGCUAGGGGAGCAAACAGG